CCUACGGGAAGCAGCAGUGGGGAAUAUUGGACAAUGGGGGGAACCCUGAUCCAGCCAUGCCGCGUGUGUGAAGAAGGCCCUCGGGUUGUAAAGCACUUUCAGUGAGGAAGAACGCCUGGUGGUUAAUACCCAUCAGGAAAGACAUCACUCACAGAAGAAGCACCGGCUAACUCCGUGCCAGCAGCCGCGGUAAUACGGAGGGUGCGAGCGUUAAUCGGAAUUACUGGGCGUAAAGCGCGCGUAGGUGGCUUGAUAAGCCGGUUGUGAAAGCCCCGGGCUCAACCUGGGAACGGCAUCCGGAACUGUCAAGCUAGAGUGCAGGAGAGGAAGGUAGAAUUCCCGGUGUAGCGGUGAAAUGCGUAGAGAUCGGGAGGAAUACCAGUGGCGAAGGCGGCCUUCUGGACUGACACUGACACUGAGGUGCGAAAGCGUGGGUAGCAAACAGGAUUAGAUACCCUUGUAGUC
Molecule: ribosomal RNA, 465 nt
Filed under: Vreelandella stevensii
Lineage: Bacteria; Pseudomonadati; Pseudomonadota; Gammaproteobacteria; Oceanospirillales; Halomonadaceae
Description: partial 16S ribosomal RNA
Rfam family: Bacterial small subunit ribosomal RNA
Source: RNAcentral